ACUGGUUAGGGGACCGCGGCGCUGCAGCCGCCAUAUUAUUGGCGGUUAUGUUUCAUCAACAAUCCAAUCCAAUCCAAUAAUUCCAGGGCCGAGGGUUGCGGCAAAAUCAGACUUUUGGACGAGGGCUGCAGCCAGCUUCACGUAAAUGUUUAAGGUGGGACUGUAAACAUGUUCAUACAGGAGCGCUACACUACACUCCUGUACUACCCUCCAGGCCUAUAGCCUACAGUUACAAGUGGCAGGCUGAAAAAUCGCGAGAAGCCAAGAUCUGUAAAAGGGAUGAGGCUUAAUCAACUACUGGAAAAUGAAGAUGCCUUAAGCUAUUAAAAAUAGAGAUAUACAACUCUAUAUUUCAACACUACCCCCUCCCAAAAAAAAAAUUGUAGUAA
Long non-coding RNA from Eurytemora carolleeae, 389 nucleotides. RefSeq lists it as uncharacterized. The transcript is spliced from 3 exons. The record is from RefSeq and is a predicted model, not a curated record. NCBI's taxonomy places the organism in Eukaryota, Metazoa, Arthropoda, Copepoda, Calanoida, Temoridae.